GAUUGAACUUAAGAGUUUGAUCCUGGCUCAGAUUGAACGCUGGCGGCAUGCUUUACACAUGCAAGUCGAACGGCAGCGGGGGCUUCGGCCUGCCGGCGAGUGGCGAACGGGUGAGUAAUGCAUCGGAACGUGCCCAUGUCGUGGGGGAUAACGUAGCGAAAGCUACGCUAAUACCGCAUACGUCCUGAGGGAGAAAGCGGGGGAUCUUCGGACCUCGCGCGAUUGGAGCGGCCGAUGUCGGAUUAGCUAGUAGGUGAGGUAAAGGCUCACCUAGGCGACGAUCCGUAGCGGGUCUGAGAGGAUGAUCCGCCACACUGGGACUGAGACACGGCCCAGACUCCUACGGGAGGCAGCAGUGGGGAAUUUUGGACAAUGGGCGCAAGCCUGAUCCAGCCAUGCCGCGUGAGUGA
RNAcentral lists this ribosomal RNA (410 nucleotides) under Thauera sp. UPWRP. RNAcentral's name for it is "bacterial SSU rRNA". It matches the Rfam family "Bacterial small subunit ribosomal RNA", at positions 1 to 408 of the family's 1533-position model. The record is from RNAcentral. Lineage: Bacteria; Pseudomonadati; Pseudomonadota; Betaproteobacteria; Rhodocyclales; Zoogloeaceae.